Molecule: ribosomal RNA, 482 nt
Filed under: uncultured bacterium
Lineage: Bacteria
Description: partial 16S ribosomal RNA
Rfam family: Bacterial small subunit ribosomal RNA
Source: RNAcentral
GACGAACGCUGGCGGCGUGCUUAACACAUGCAAGUCGAACGAUGAAGCCGGAGCUUGCUCCGGUGGAUCAGUGGCGAACGGGUGAGUAACACGUGAGCAAUCUGCCCUUGACUCUGGGAUAACUGCGGAAACUGUGGCUAAUACCGGAUACGACACCUUGGGGCAUCCCAGGGUGUGGAAAGAAUUUCGGUCAAGGAUGAGCUCGCGGCCUAUCAGCUAGUUGGUGAGGUAAUGGCUCACCAAGGCGACGACGGGUAGCCGGCCUGAGAGGGUGACCGGCCACACUGGAACUGAGACACGGUCCAGACUCAGACGGGAGGCAGCAGUGGGGAAUAGUGCACAAUGGGCGAAAGCCUGAUGCAGCAACGCCGCGUGAGGGAUGAAGGCCUUCGGGUUGUAAACCUCUUUUAGCAGGGAAGAAGCGAAAGUGACGGUACCUGCAGAAAAAGCACCGGCUAACUACGUGCCAGCCGCCGCCGUAA